This 563-nucleotide ribosomal RNA is filed under the name uncultured Sebacinales. RNAcentral describes it as "eukaryotic LSU rRNA". It matches the Rfam family "Eukaryotic large subunit ribosomal RNA", at positions 81 to 612 of the family's 3401-position model. Lineage: Eukaryota; Fungi; Basidiomycota; Agaricomycetes; Sebacinales. The record is from RNAcentral.
UAGUAACGGCGAGUGAAGAGGGAAAAGCUCAAAUUUUGAAUCUGGUGUCUUUGACUCCCGAGUUGUAAUCUAGAGAAGUGUUUUCCGCGUUGGACCGUGUACAAGUUCCCUGGAACGGGGCGUCAUAGAGGGUGAGAAUCCCGUAUAUGCCACGGACUACCAAUGCUCUGUGAUACACUCUCAACGAGUCGGGUUGUUUGGGAAUGCAGCUCAAAAUGGGCGGUAAAUUCCAUCUAAAGCUAAAUAUUGGCGAGGGACCGAUAGCGAACAAGUACCGUGAGGGAAAGAUGAAAAGCACUUUGGAAAGAGAGUGAAACAGUACGUGAAAUUGUUGAAAGGGAAGCGUUUGAAGUCAGUCACGUCUGUAGGAAUUCAGCCUGGCCUCUGCCUGGUGUACUUUCUGUCCGACGGGUCAGCAUCAAUUUCGACCGAGGGAAAAAGACGUGAGGAAUGUGGCUGUCUUCGGGCAGUGUUAUAGACUCGCGUUGUAUGUCUCGGUUGGGAUUGAGGAACGCAGCGCGCCUAUUGGCCGGGGGUUCGCGCCCCUCGGUACGCGCUUAGGA